GUGAAUCAUCGAAUUUUUGAACGCAAAUUGCACUCUUUGGUAUUCCGGAGAGUAUGCCUGUUUGAGGGUCAGUUUAAAUAAAAAUCGGUGUGUUUGCUGCCUUUCGUGGUGACGCACCGGAUUUGGGUCUGCUUUCCUUCGGUUAAGUGACCGAAAAUUUUGCAUGAUUUUUUUCGAACGUAUUUAAAUGAUUUUACCUACGUUUGCGAUAUCGAAUACUAUGUUUGGCAAUCCUUAUGAUUCGAGCCUAUAA
RNAcentral lists this unclassified non-coding RNA (253 nucleotides) under Glomus sp. RNAcentral's name for it is "partial contains 5.8S ribosomal RNA and internal transcribed spacer 2". The stretch from base 1 to 71 matches the Rfam family "5.8S ribosomal RNA", at positions 84 to 154 of the family's 154-position model. Lineage: Eukaryota; Fungi; Glomeromycota; Glomeromycetes; Glomerales; Glomeraceae. The record is from RNAcentral.